RNAcentral lists this ribosomal RNA (2879 nucleotides) under Xanthomonas arboricola pv. pruni MAFF 301420. RNAcentral describes it as "bacterial LSU rRNA". It matches the Rfam family "Bacterial large subunit ribosomal RNA". Lineage: Bacteria; Pseudomonadati; Pseudomonadota; Gammaproteobacteria; Lysobacterales; Lysobacteraceae. The record is from RNAcentral.
UCAAGCGAAUAAGCGCACACGGUGGAUGCCUAGGCGGUCAGAGGCGAUGAAGGACGUGGUAGCCUGCGAAAAGUGUCGGGGAGCUGGCAACAAGCUUUGAUCCGGCAAUAUCCGAAUGGGGAAACCCACUGCUUCGGCAGUAUCCUGCAGUGAAUUCAUAGCUGCUGGAAGCGAACCCGGUGAACUGAAAUAUCUAAGUAACCGGAGGAAAAGAAAUCAACCGAGAUUCCCUAAGUAGUGACGAGCGAACGGGGAGCAGCCCUUAAGCUGGAAUGGCUUUAGAAAAACAAUCUGGAAAGAUUGGCCAUAGAAGGUGAUAGCCCUGUAUUUAAAAGGGCCACUCCAGUGAAGACGAGUAGGGCGGGGCACGUGAAACCCUGUCUGAAUAUGGGGGGACCAUCCUCCAAGGCUAAAUACUCCUGACCGACCGAUAGUGAACCAGUACCGUGAGGGAAAGGCGAAAAGAACCCCGGAGAGGGGAGUGAAAUAGAUCCUGAAACCGUGUGCGUACAAGCAGUAGGAGCUCGCAAGAGUGACUGCGUACCUUUUGUAUAAUGGGUCAGCGACUUACUGUUCGUGGCAAGCUUAACCGUAUAGGGGAGGCGAAGGGAAACCGAGUCUGAUAAGGGCGCAUAGUCGCGGGCAGUAGACCCGAAACCGGGUGAUCUAGUCAUGGCCAGGGUGAAGGUGCCGUAACAGGUACUGGAGGCCCGAACCCACGUCUGUUGCAAAAGACGGGGAUGAGCUGUGAUUAGGAGUGAAAAGCUAAUCGAACCCGGAGAUAGCUGGUUCUCCUCGAAAGCUAUUUAGGUAGCGCCUCGGACGAAUACUACUGGGGGUAGAGCACUGUUAUGGCUAGGGGGUCAUCGCGACUUACCAAACCAUUGCAAACUCCGAAUACCAGUACGUACUAUCCGGGAGACACACGGCGGGUGCUAACGUCCGUCGUGAAAAGGGAAACAACCCAGACCCACAGCUAAGGUCCCAAAUUCACUGCUAAGUGGAAAACGAUGUGGAAAGGCAUAGACAGCCAGGAGGUUGGCUUAGAAGCAGCCACCCUUUAAAGAAAGCGUAAUAGCUCACUGGUCGAGUCGGUCUGCGCGGAAGAUUUAACGGGGCUAAGCAGUGAACCGAAGCUUGGGGUGCAUAAAACUUGUUUUAUGCGCGGUAGAGGAGCGUUCCGUAAGCCUGCGAAGGUGGAUUGAGAAGUCUGCUGGAGGUAUCGGAAGUGCGAAUGCUGACAUGAGUAACGAUAAUGCGGGUGAAAAGCCCGCACGCCGAAAGCCCAAGGUUUCCUUGCGCAACGUUAAUCGACGCAGGGUUAGUCGGUCCCUAAGGCGAGGGCGAAAGCCGUAGUCGAUGGGAAGCAGGUUAAUAUUCCUGCACCUCGCGUGAGUGCGAUGGAGGGACGGAGAAGGUUAGGUGUACCGGGCGUUGGUUGUCCCGGGGAAAGGCGGUAGGUUUGGAUCUUUGGCAAAUCCGGGAUCCUUUAAGACCGAGCACCGAGACGAGCCUUUAUGGCGAAGUCACUGAUACCACGCUUCCAGGAAAAGCUCCUAAGCUUCAGCUCACGAAGACCGUACCGUAAACCGACACAGGUGGGUAGGAUGAGAAUUCUCAGGCGCUUGAGAGAACUCGGGUGAAGGAACUAGGCAACAUGGCACCGUAACUUCGGGAGAAGGUGCACCCUUUUUGGUGGCUCAUGCGAGCUAUAGCUGAAGAGGGUCGCAGAAACCAGGCCGCUGCGACUGUUUAUCAAAAACACAGCACUCUGCAAACACGAAAGUGGACGUAUAGGGUGUGACGCCUGCCCGGUGCUGGAAGGUUAAUUGAUGGGGUCAGCCGCAAGGCGAAGCUCUUGAUCGAAGCCCCAGUAAACGGCGGCCGUAACUAUAACGGUCCUAAGGUAGCGAAAUUCCUUGUCGGGUAAGUUCCGACCUGCACGAAUGGCGUAACGACAGCGGCGCUGUCUCCACCCGAGACUCAGUGAAAUUGAAAUCGCUGUGAAGAUGCAGCGUUCCCGUGGCAAGACGGAAAGACCCCGUGAACCUUUACUAUAGCUUUACACUGAACGUUGAGUUCGUCUGUGUAGGAUAGGUGGGAGGCUAUGAAACUGUGGCGCUAGCUGCAGUGGAGCCAUCCUUGAAAUACCACCCUGUCGUGCUUGACGUUCUAACCUAGAUCCGUUAUCCGGAUCAGGGACCGUGUAUGGUGGGUAGUUUGACUGGGGCGGUCUCCUCCUAAAGAGUAACGGAGGAGCACGAAGGUACGCUCAGCGCGGUCGGACAUCGCGCACUGUGUGCAAAGGCAUAAGCGUGCUUGACUGCAAGAUCGACGGAUCAAGCAGGUACGAAAGUAGGUCUUAGUGAUCCGGUGGUUCUGUAUGGAAGGGCCAUCGCUCAACGGAUAAAAGGUACUCCGGGGAUAACAGGCUGAUACCGCCCAAGAGUUCAUAUCGACGGCGGUGUUUGGCACCUCGAUGUCGGCUCAUCACAUCCUGGGGCUGUAGUCGGUCCCAAGGGUAUGGCUGUUCGCCAUUUAAAGUGGUACGCGAGCUGGGUUCAGAACGUCGUGAGACAGUUCGGUCCCUAUCUGCCAUGGGCGUUGGAAGUUUGAGAGGGGCUGCUCCUAGUACGAGAGGACCGGAGUGGACGAACCUCUGGUGUUCCGGUUGUCACGCCAGUGGCAUUGCCGGGUAGCUAUGUUCGGAAGCGAUAACCGCUGAAAGCAUCUAAGCGGGAAGCGCGCCUCAAGAUGAGACUUCCCGGGGCACAAGCCCCCUAAAGGAACCAUAUAGACUAUGUGGUUGAUAGGUCAGGUGUGUAAGUACAGCAAUGUAUUGAGCUAACUGAUACUAAUGAUCCGUGCGGCUUGACCAU